CAAGAACUCUCGCCUCGCGAGCACCUCCAGCCUUGUGUGUUAUGAGUGUUUGUGCGAUCUGUGUCGCACGUUUUGAUCAAGAGCGAACCCCCUUAUGAUAAUAAGACCUAAUGAUGACGUUAAAUGCAGUCUGUAAAGCUGUUUAAGAUAUGUUGAUAUUGAUUGAGUAUGAUUAAUGUAUUGUACAUUUAUGUAAGAUAUGGAAGUUUAAUUAUGAUAUAAUUGAUGUGCUAUUGAUAUAAUGAUAUCAUCCUGUUAUGUGACUUGAUUAUGCUGCUGCUGUUAUUUAACUAACUGCAUUGUAUAUAUUUAUAUAUGAUGAAAUGAUGACGUUUAGCUCCAAAUUGUUGGAUGCAUGUUGAUAUGUUGAUUACGAUGUUUUGUUCAUAAGAGUCCAUGCAUAACAUCUCAUUGAGCUUAGUCCUCACCACGUUUAUUAGGAGCUUUGUCCUCCGCACGAUUAUUAGGAGCUUUGUCCUCCGCACGAUUAAAGUAUAUUAAUACUUAUGAUGACGAUUGGUACCACAUGCAUAUAAGGAGUCUAAGAGCAUUUUCACAUUGUCAUGUCCAUAAUGCUAUGUUGUUGAUGACGAUUGAAUAAGUGAAUACGUGAUAUUAGUUUAUUGAAUAUGUGAAUACGUGAUACUUGUUAUUUGAAUAUGCAAAGUUAUCCAAGAAUGAUUAUGAUGUUAAUGUUAAUUAUGAUUCGAAUUACUUUGAUUAGCAUUAUUUUGUUAUGAAAUCUCACCCCUUCUGCUUGAAAAUGUUGCCCUUCGUAUGGGUAACUUGCAGGUGAUCGUGCUUAGUGUGCAGUUUGCUUUCGUGAGUUGGCCUUGCCUUCACUGUGUCGUCUAGGUCGCUCUGAUACGUAACGGGAUGGGGUUAUAUGCUAUAACAUGCUUCAUUCUUUUACGUGAAUUGCUAUGACAAUUUCUGUUUUGAUUAACUCUUUUGAGAUACUUAUUUGGGGCCUGCGUGCCAAACUGAUUUAUGGUUUACGAACUAAUAUUCCGCUGCUAUGUUAAGAUAUUAUGUGGAAGUUAAAUUAUUAUUUAACUGUUUUUGGAUUACGUUUUUAUGUGAUAUCCCGUUUAUGAUUUUUACUCUGAUAAAUGUUUAAGAAAUUUGUAUAUUGGGAAAACGGGGUGUUACAAUUGGUAUCAGAGCAGGUCGGUCCGUCCGGUCAAUUAGAGAGUCGUGUCGAGUCUUAGUAAUAUUUAUAUUACUAUCUUAUGUUGUUGUUGCUACUUUUGUAAAAUCUCGGUAAUGGCUGGAAGAAACGAUGUUGCGUUAGCUGCUGCUCUACAAGUUGUUGCCCAAGCUGUGGGACAACAACCUAACGCAAAUGCGGGUGCGAAUGCUGAAGCUAGGAUGUUGGAGACUUUCAUGAAGAAGAACCCUCCAACUUUCAAAGGGCGUUAUGACCCUGAUGGAGCCCAGACGUGGCUUAAGGGGAUUGAGAGGAUUUUCCGGGUUAUGCAGUGCACUGAAGAUCAGAAGGUGCGGUUUGGUACUCAUCAGCUAGCCGAGGAAGCNNNNNNNNNNNNNNNNNNNNNNNNNNNNNNNNNNNNNNNNNNNNNNNNNNNNNNNNNNNNNNNNNNNNNNNNNNNNNNNNNNNNNNNNNNNNNNNNNNNNCUGGUGCUACGCAUGCUUUAUGCUUUCGAUGUGUUUCUGCUUUGUGUCUGAGUGUCUGAUAUGAAUGGAGAGAUGGUGUCGAAACUCCGGCUAAGGGUUCGGUGACUACUUCUCUCGUAUGUUUGAAAUGUCCUUGUCUAUGUUUGGUCGUGAUUUCGAAAUGGAUUUAGUUUGUCUAUCUUUGAGCGGUAUGGAUGUGAUUCUGGGUAUGAACUGGUUAGAGUACAACCACGUUCUUAUUAAUUGUUUUAGCAAGUCUGUGCAUUUCUCUUCCGUCGAAGAGGAAAGUGGUGCGGAGUUUUUAUCUACUAAGCAGCUGAAGCAACUGGAACGCGACGGUAUCUUGAUGUUUUCGUUAAUGGCUACCUUAUCUAUUGAGAAUCAAGCAGUGAUUGAUAGGUUACCGGUGGUGUGUGAAUUUCCUGAAGUUUUUCCAGAUGAGAUUCCUGAUGUGCCUCCUGAGAGAGAAGUUGAGUUUUCUAUUGAUCUUGUCCCUGGAACGAAGCCGGUCUCGAUGGCACCUUAUCGUAUGUCUACUUCCGAGUUAUCUGAGUUGAAGAAACAGUUGGAGGACUUGCUUGAGAAGAAGUUUGUUAGACCAAGUGUUUCACCUUGGGGAGCGCCGGUUUUGUUAGUAAAGAAGAAAGAUGGUAGUAUGCGGUUAUGUAUUGAUUAUCGGCAGUUGAACAAGGUAACUAUCAAGAAUAGGUAUCCACUUCCGAGAAUUGAUGAUUUGAUGGAUCAGUUAGUGGGUGCACGUGUUUUUAGCAAGAUUGAUUUGAGGUCAGGUUAUCACCAGAUUAAAGUAAAGGAUGAAGAUAUGCAGAAGACAGCUUUCAGAACGCGUUAUGGUCACUAUGAAUAUAAAGUUAUGCCUUUUGGUGUUACCAAUGCACCUGGAGUGUUUAUGGAGUAUAUGAAUCACAUCUUCCAUGCAUUUUUGGAUCGGUUUGUGGUUGUGUUUAUCGACGAUAUUUUGAUUUACUCCAAGACUGAAGAAGAACAUGCUGAGCAUCUGAAGAUUGUUUUGCAAGUGUUGAAAGAGAAGAAGCUUUAUGCUAAAUUGUCUAAGUGUGAAUUCUGGUUGAAAGAAGUGAGUUUUCUAGGCCAUGUUAUUUCUAGUGAUGGUAUUGCAGUGGAUCCGUCUAAAGUUGAAGCGGUAUCGCAAUGGGAGACUCCUAAGUCCGUUACAGAGAUUAGAAGCUUUUUGGGUUUAGCUGGUUACUAUAGAAGGUUUAUUGAAGGGUUUUCCAAGUUAGCUCUUCCGCUUACGCAGUUGACUUGUAAAGGUAAAACUUUUGUGUGGGACGUCCAUUGUGAGAAAAGUUUCGGUGAAUUGAAGAAACGUUUGACGACUGCUCCAGUGUUAAUUUUGCCGAAGUCAGAUGAACCUUUUGUGGUGUAUUGUGAUGCGUCUAAGUUGGGUUUAGGAGGUGUACUUAUGCAAGAAGGUAAAGUGGUAGCUUAUGCUUCAGGACAGUUGAGAAUUCAUGAGAAGAAUUAUCCUACGCAUGAUCUCGAGUUAGCGGCCGUAGUCUUUGUAUUGAAGAUAUGGAGACAUUACUUGUAUGGUUCGAGAUUUGAGGUGUUUAGUGAUCGCAAGAGUUUGAAGUAUUUGUUCGAUCAGAAGGAAUUGAAUAUGAGACAGCGAAGAUGGCUUGAAUUGUUGAAAGAUUAUGACUUUGGUUUGAAUUAUCAUCCAGGUAAAGCUAAUGUUGUUGCAGAUGCCUUGAGUAGGAAGACAUUGCAUAUGUCCGCUAUGAUGGUCAGAGAGUUCGAAUUGCUUGAACAGUUUAGAGAUAUGAGUUUGGUUUGCGAAUGGUCACCUCAGAGUGUGAAACUGGGUAUGCUGAAGAUUGAUAGUGAAUUCCUGAAAAGUAUCAAGGAAGCGCAGAAAGUUGAUGUCAAGUUUGUGGACUUGUUGGUUGCUAGAGAUCAGACUGAAGACAGUGAUUUUAAAAUCGACAAUCAAGGUGUGUUGAGAUUCCGAGGAAGAAUUUGUAUCCCAGACAAUGAAGAGAUUAAGAAGAUGAUUCUUGAAGAGAGUCAUAGAAGUAGCUUGAGUAUUCAUCCGGGAGCUACGAAGAUGUAUCAUGAUUUAAAGAAGAUUUUCUGGUGGUCUGGUUUGAAACGAGAUGUGGCACAAUUUGUGUAUUCCUGUUUAGUUUGUCAGAAGUCGAAAGUUGAACAUCAGAAACCUGCUGGAAUGAUGGUACCUUUAGACGUGCCAGAAUGAAAAUGGGAUAGUAUAUCCAUGGAUUUUGUGACGAGUUUGCCAAAUACUCCUAGAGGGAACGACGCAAUUUGGGUUAUUGUUGAUAGAUUGACGAAGUCGGCUCAUUUUCUACCGAUUAAUAUUAGUUUCCCCGUUGCCCAGUUGGCAGAGAUUUAUAUCAAGGGGAUUGUGAAGUUGCAUGGUGUUCCUUCGAGCAUUGUGUCAGACAGAGAUCCAAGAUUUACUUCUAGAUUUUGGAAAAGUUUGCAAGAGGCUUUGGGUUCGAAGUUGAGGUUGAGUUCGGCGUAUCAUCCGUAGACAGAUGGUCAGUCGGAGAGGACAAUUCAGUCGCUAGAGGAUUUGUUGAGAAUUUGUGUUCUUGAGCAAGGAGGAACUUGGGAUAGUCAUCUUCCGUUGAUCGAGUUCACAUACAAUAAUAGUUAUCAUUCAAGUAUUGGAAUGGCACCUUUCGAGGCUUUAUAUGGUCGGAGAUGCAGAACUCCGUUGUGCUGGUUUGAGUCAGGUGAAAGAGUGGUCUUAGGACCAGAGAUUGUUCAGCAAACUNNNNNNNNNNNNNNNNNNNNNNNNNNNNNNNNNNNNNNNNNNNNNNNNNNNNNNNNNNNNNNNNNNNNNNNNNNNNNNNNNNNNNNNNNNNNNNNNNNNNGCUUGAUUCGUUGAGUCAAAGAAGUUGACCCCGAAGUUCAUUGGUCCGUAUCAGAUUUUGGAAAGAGUUGGAACGGUGGCUUACCGAGUGGGUUUACAGCCGCAUCUUUCGAAUUUGCACAAUGUUUUCCACGUGUCGCAACUUUGGAAGUAUGUUCCGGAUCCAUCUCAUGUAAUUCAGAGUGACGAUGUGCAAGUUAGAGACAACCUUACGGUAGAAACUUUACCGUUGAGGAUUGAUGAUCGUAAAGUGAAGACGUUGAGAGGCAAGGAGAUACCUCUCGUGAGAGUCGUUUGGACGGGAGCGACUGGUGAAAGCUUGACGUGGGAGCUUGAGAGUAAGAUGCUGGAGUUUUAUCCAGAGUUGUUUGCUUGAGGUAAAUUUUCGAGGACGAAAAUCUUUUAAGUGGGGGAGAGUUGUAACGCCCACUUUCGUUUAAUCGUUAUUUAAUCGAGUUUAGGCAAUUAUAUUAUAAUUAUAUAAUAUAUGCGUGAUUUUGUUAUGUUUUGGUGAUUCACGAUGAAUUUAGUGAUUUGAUUGAUGACGUGAUAAGUUAUGAGUUUUGGAGGAUUUGAUUAUGAUAUGAGAUUUAUUUUAUUGUUAAAUAGAAUAAAGAUUUGAAAAUAAUAUAAAAUAUUUAGUUAAGGGUUGUUUUGAUAUUUUAGAUAGUUUUGGGGGAGAAAGUGAGAUAAGAUAAGUAAUUAGGAAGAGAUAUAAAUAGGAGAAGACCUAAUAUUUUAGAAACUCAUUGUACGUGAAAACUUUUGGAAAAGGGAGAAAAAGCUUAGAAGGGAGAAGAGCAUAGAGAGGGCUGCGAUUUCUUCAUAACCAGGUAAGGGUGAGACUAAUAACUCAGUAUUGUUAAUUGAAUGUGAUUCUGAUGAUUAGUUAACAAGAAUUAGGAGUGAAUUGGAGAAAACGAAAACUAGGUCAAAACCUUAGAAUUGAUGAUCAAACGGUGAUAAUUGGUUUAAUUGAUGUAGAAAGUGUUCCUAGACCUUAGAUAAUGUUUAGGACGAACUUUGGAAUCAAAAACAAGCUUAGAACCAUGUGAAACGUCGAGUUUUUGUGAAUUUAGGAAGUCUGGCCGUAGCGACAUUCAUCGCUCGCCACGACGAGCUAUGAAUCUCGCCUCGCGAGUGAUGAACAUUCAUCGCUCGCCUCGCGAACCCUGUUUUCUCGCCUCGCGAGUUGUGCAAUGCAGCUCGCCAUAGCGAGCUUAGGCAGAGUGCAUGUUAGAUUUUGUGUUUCGACCUUUUUAGUUGGACCUUGAAUGCCUUAGAGUGCCUGAACAUACCUAGUAAUGAUUAGGAAUGAAUGUAGGGCAAGAUUAGACCCAGAACAACUUUAGUUUGGGAAUUGUUUAGUACUCGCCAUGGCGAGCAAGAACUCUCGCCUCGCGAGCACCUCCAGCCUUGUGUGUUAUGAGUGUUUGUGCGAUCUGUGUCGCACGUUUUGAUCAAGAGCGAACCCCCUUAUGAUAAUAAGACCUAAUGAUGACGUUAAAUGCAGUCUGUAAAGCUGUUUAAGAUAUGUUGAUAUUGAUUGAGUAUGAUUAAUGUAUUGUACAUUUAUGUAAGAUAUGGAAG
This 6103-nucleotide long non-coding RNA is filed under the name Medicago truncatula (barrel medic). Its description in RNAcentral is "long non-coding RNA (MTRU_LNC000007)". The record is from RNAcentral. Lineage: Eukaryota; Viridiplantae; Streptophyta; Magnoliopsida; Fabales; Fabaceae.